RNAcentral lists this ribosomal RNA (160 nucleotides) under Acarospora cervina. Its description in RNAcentral is "5.8S ribosomal RNA". It matches the Rfam family "5.8S ribosomal RNA". Rfam says of the family: 5.8S ribosomal RNA (5.8S rRNA) is a component of the large subunit of the eukaryotic ribosome. It is transcribed by RNA polymerase I as part of the 45S precursor that also contains 18S and 28S rRNA. The record is from RNAcentral. Lineage: Eukaryota; Fungi; Ascomycota; Lecanoromycetes; Acarosporales; Acarosporaceae.
AAAACUUUCAACAACGGAUCUCUUGGUUCUGGCAUCGAUGAAGAACGCAGCGAAAUGCGAUAAGUAAUGUGAAUUGCAGAAUUCAGUGAAUCAUCGAAUCUUUGAACGCACAUUGCGCCCCUCGGUAUUCCAAGGGGCAUGCCUGUUCGAGCGUCAUUAC